Perca fluviatilis (European perch) is the source of this 738-nucleotide long non-coding RNA. RefSeq lists it as uncharacterized. The record is from RefSeq and is a predicted model, not a curated record. Lineage: Eukaryota; Metazoa; Chordata; Actinopteri; Perciformes; Percidae. The transcript is spliced from 2 exons.
ACUUCUGCAUUUUUCCAGCCCGCCCAUAGGGGGUGGGACCAAUGGGUGGGACCCAUAGCCAGUAUGGGGACCUCCCUCCCAGAUUGUAAACAGUGUCAGCCAUCCUGUAGCUAAGCUACCCCGCUCUUGCUCUUGUGGAGAAAGCAGAGUAGUAGAUUCACCACGAUGGCAGAAGGUAGUUCUGAAGACGAUAUGGCAGAAGGUGAUUUUGAAGAUCUGGUGCGCGAAUCUGAUGCUCGUGGCUACCUGUACGAGCCGAAUUACAGCGAGGAACAGUUGCGGAUGAUAGAGGAACAAGAGGCUGCCGGAGCAGCUGCUGUAGCAGAGGAGCGAGACUUGCCUAGCGGUAUUGAGGAAGAUCCCGGGCAGACUCGAGCUGGGGCGGAUUGGUGGUGUCAGUGUUCUCGCAGAGCGCAAAUGGACACAGAGAGUCCUGUUGCUUUCAGGAUCCCGAAAGUGAAUUGGAAACGCCAACCAAAGCCCGCAGGGAGAAACUGACGCCUGAGUAUAAAACAAUAUCGCCUAACAGCCUACCGUCACUUCGUGGAAUGGGUCCUUUGAGAUUGGGAAAAGGCUAUCGUCUUGUUUUUCCUGCCUGUGUUGUUCAGGACAUCAGACGGAGAUAUCCAGCUCCUGACGGACAAUACUGUGGCUAUAAAGAAACUAUUGAAGCUCUGGAUGAGCUAUGAGUGUGAAAUUGAUCAUAUUAUGUUUUUUAAUUAAAAGUUUAAAAUGUUA